GGAGAGUAUGCCAUUAAUUCUUGCUCCUACCAUUAAAUUUGUAGUUUUUAGGAUUGUAGGGCAGCUAGUUAGGAAAACUUGCCAGCCUUCCUGAUAGUAAUAUUUCGAACUGUUUCCAGUCCAAAUCAAAUGAAAUAAGACUUGAUUAGAAAUUAGAAAGAAUUACUCCAAUAGAAAAGAGUAACAUCACUUUAGCAAUCAUAAGUUCAGGGAAAUUCAACAAAAAGAGGAUAGAGAUGACCUGCCACACUAUUGAACGAUGAU
RNAcentral lists this unclassified non-coding RNA (264 nucleotides) under Hevea brasiliensis (rubber tree). Lineage: Eukaryota; Viridiplantae; Streptophyta; Magnoliopsida; Malpighiales; Euphorbiaceae. The record is from RNAcentral.